Molecule: ribosomal RNA, 369 nt
Filed under: uncultured organism
Description: bacterial LSU rRNA
Rfam family: Bacterial large subunit ribosomal RNA
Source: RNAcentral
CGAUGAUUGGAUUUAUUUGCGCAGCAUAGGUGGAAGGGAUUGAGAUUACUCUUGCGGGAGUAGUGGAGCCAUCAGUGAGAUACCACUCCUAUAAUGUUAGAUUUCUAACUUUGGAUCAUGAUCUGGUCAAAGAACAGUUUCAGGCGGGCAGUUUGACUGGGGCGGUCGCCUCCCAAAUGGUAACGGAGGCGUACAAAGGUUUCCUCUGAACGGGUAGAAAUCGUAUCUAGAGUGUAAAGGCAUAAGGAAGCUUGACUGUGAGACCUACAAGUCGAGCAGGGACGAAAGUCGGUCUUAGUGAUCUGACGGUGCUGAGUGGAAAGGCCGUCACUCAACGGAUAAAAGUUACUCUAGGGAUAACAGGCUGAA